AAGGUUGUAUAUAAUUAUUCUGUUUAGUUGUGAUCCGUUACCCUGCAGCCGAAACCACCGUCAUUUAUAAACAAAUGGCGUAAUCUUCAAUUGCAUUGCUGAAUUAACUCUUCACUACGGGCAUGGCUAUCAAAAUUAUUUAAGGACAACUGACAACCACUUCCUCUAAAGUUUUGUUUUGUUUUGUUUAAAUUCAACCGUCGCAGCUUUCCUUUCAAUGGCACUCAAUUUUUCUAACUCGUAAUUUUUUUUUUUAUUUUUUCAUGUUUGUUGAUACUACUUAGCUCUUGGUCACGAACCAUGCAUUCUGUGAAACCUUUUUUACAUUUGUUCUCGCUUAAGUACUAUUUUUUAAGAGACCACCUUUUCUAGUUUUAUGUUAUAAGUAAGUGCGUGGGUAAGAAUUUACAUAAGUAGGAGGUACGUUUAAGUUUGCUGCUCUCAGAAAGUCUCUUUUUUACAAAACACUUCUUCAACUUGCAUCAAUGUCUAACUUUUCAAUCAAAUAAAUUCCAACUAAGGAUGCAUUUUCAGUUCAACUUUUGUAUUUAAACAUCUUGGAGGCUGAUAGUGAGCUGAUCAGAGAAUGGUCUCCUUACUUAGAUUGAAGAGACAGAAGAGUAAAUCUUAAAGUGGUAUCAAUUUUCCCUCCAUUUAAUCUAAGAAAAUAAACAUUUUACUGUAGAGGAGUUACUCUUAGCUCCUUCAAUUCUAUAACAUGUGUCAUUUGAUAAAACCUCCUACGAAAAAUAAUUGCCCUUCGACUCCUAAGCUCAGAUUUCCUAAGACUUCAUUACUUUUUUCUCACCAAGUUUGCUAUGGAGCUUUUGUGUAAACUUUUUUUUUCAUUUGAUGUUUGCAUAAAUGUAUGUGCGAUAUUGUAUGUCUUUCUCAGCUUAUUGUUUAUUUUUUAAAAACAAGGAAAAGCAAAGGACGCCAGUUUUUACUUACAACUUCUAUUUUCUAAUGAUGAAGUCCUUUUAUUAUUUCACCAAAUUUUUGAAGUAGAAAUUUUUGUUCAGGAACAGCAUUUUAUCUAAAAAUUUAAUUAAAUAUAAAUGGAUGUAUGAUCAUAGUGUAUAUGUCAUGCUUGAAAGAUGCAUUUAAAUUUGAGCUUUGCUCAAUUUAGUAGACUAAAAGAGCAAAAUGUUUUUACCGUACCUUAGCCUUUUUAUCAAAGUUGUUAAUUUUAUUUUUACAAUAGUCUGAUGCAAAUGUGUGAAUAUUAAUGUGUAACCUAUUGAAAAUCAUUUAACUCUAACUUCAUCACUUAUUCUCAGGUUUUUCCAAAUUUCCGUACCUCAUUGUUUUUUCUGAAACUUUCUUCGUCUUUUUUUUUCCAUGAAUUCUUUUAGAAGUUGUCUAUUUUCAAACUAGAGAGGAUCACCACCCCUAAGAUUCAGAGAUUCCUUUCAAUCACUGGUAAUUUUAUGAGUUCCAGGUGGACUAAAUAAGCUUUUGCCGAAGCAGUGCGCGGCACAAAUUCCCCCUUACUUAUUCUGUGCAAGUAGCUGUUUUGGGUUAUUUUGUAAUAUAUUUUGUCUUUUCAAUGCACAAACCGCCUAAGGAAGUAUUUGAAUCCAGGUCAAACUUAGUAAAAGCAAAGUUUCUCAUACUGACAUUUCAGUUGUAUUCAGCUUGUACACUUCUUUCUUACUGCAAAGGUACAGUUUCUUAUUUUUCAAUUUUUGAAUCUCUUCCUUUUUAUGUUGAACUUUUCUGGCACAGUAAUUUUACAAUUUAAUUUGCUGUUUUUUGUUAGAUCUAGCAUUUUUGUUGGAAUGG
Molecule: non-coding RNA, 1785 nt
Organism: Bemisia tabaci
Lineage: Eukaryota; Metazoa; Arthropoda; Insecta; Hemiptera; Aleyrodidae
Source: RefSeq, a predicted model, not a curated record